This is a long non-coding RNA of Symphalangus syndactylus (siamang), 9762 nucleotides long. RefSeq lists it as uncharacterized. Lineage: Eukaryota; Metazoa; Chordata; Mammalia; Primates; Hylobatidae. The record is from RefSeq and is a predicted model, not a curated record.
CCGAGGUUGUCGGAUCACUUGAGGUCAGGAGUUAGAGACCAGCCUGGCCAACAUGGUGAAACCAUGUCUCUACUAAAAAUACAAAAAUUAGCCUGGCGUGGUGGCUCACGCCUAUAAUCCCAGCUACUUGGGAGGCUGAGGGAGGAGAAUCACUUGAACCCAGGAGGUGGAGGUUGCUGUAAGCUGAGAUCGUGCCACUGUACUCCAGCCUGGGUGAGGGAGUGAGACCUCGUCUCAGACAAACAAACAAAAAGAAGAAUGUUUUAUUCUGCUGUUGUUGGGAGGAAUAUUCUAUGAAUAUUAAGUUGAUCAGAUUGGUUGAUUCUUUUCUUGGUUGGCUGGUUUAAUUGUUCUAUAUCUUACUGAUUUUCUGCCUCCUUGUUCUUCAUUGCUGAGAGAGGAGUAUUCUACGUUGCUGAGAGAAGGAUGUUGAAUUGUGGCUUCUUUUUCUCCUACCAUUUCUAUCAACGUGUUUCAUGCAUUUUGAAGAUCUCUUGUUAGAUGCACAUACAUUUAGGAUUAUUAUUUUUUCUUGAAGAAUCGAUCCCCUUAGCAACAUGUGCUGUCUUUAUCCCUGAUAUUUCUUGUUCUGCAGUUAUUCAUCUGAUAUUAAUUAUUUCAGUUACUACUCAGGGUUUCUUUAGAUUAAUGUUUACAAAGUUUAUGUAUUUUUUACUUGUUUUUUAUUUUUGAGACAGAGUCUCGCUCUGUCACUCAGUCUGGAGUGCAAUGGUGCAGUCUAGGCUCACUGCAACCUCUGCCUUCUGGGUUCAAGCCCUUCUCAUGCCUCAGCCUCCCAAGUAGUUGGGACAACAGGGACGCACCACUGUGCCUGGCUAAUUUUCUAUUUUUAGUAGAGAUGGGGUUUCACCAUGUUGGCCAGGCUGGUCUCGAACUCCUGACCUCAAGUGAUCCUCCUGCCUCAGCCUCCCAAAGAGGUGGGAUUACAGGCAUGAGCCACUGCUCUCGGCCACAAGGUUUAUAUAUUUUAUCAUUUUACUUUUAACCUACUUGUAACCUUUUAUUUAAAAUAUAUUUCUUUCUUUGUUUUUUUAUUUGGAUGGAGUCAGGAGUCCCGCUAUGUUGCCCAGCUGGUCUUGAACUCCUGGCCUCAAGCAAUCCUCCUGCCUUGGCUUCCCAAAGUGUUGGGAUUACAGACAUUAGCCAUGGUGGCAGCCUACACUGUGUUUGUAUAAACAGUUCAGAAUUGAGUCUUGGAUUAUCUGACAAUCUCUCUUUUAAUUCAGGGGUUCCCAACUCCCAGGCGAUGGACCAGUACCAGUCCCAGUCCGUGGCCUGUUAGGAACCAGACUGCACAGCAGAACCUCUAAUACAACAUCAACAGAACUGGCGAGAGAGUACCUCCUUGCCUUGUUACUAAUCUUAUGGGGGAAACAUUCACCCUUUCUACUUUUGUAAUAUAGACAUUUAAUGCUGUAAGUAAUUUUCUGUAAGUACAGCUUUAGCAAUAUCCCACAAUGCUUCGUAUAUUGUGUUUCAGUUUGGUAUAUUGUGUUUCAGGUAUAUUUCAUUAAGUUCAAAAUACUUUCUAAUUUCAUUUUUGAUUUCUUCUUUGAACCCCAUGUUAUUCGGGCGUGUAUUAUUUGGUUUCCAAAUAUUUGGAGAUUUUUCUCUCUUUUUUUUUUUUUUUUUUUGUUGAGUUGCUUUGAUUUCCUCAUAUAUUCUGCAUAUCAGUCUCUUGUUGGAUGAACAGUUCGCAAAUUUUUUUUUUCCAGUCUACAGGUUGUCUCUUCAUUCUCUUGAUUGUUUGUUUUGCUGAAGGGAAAGUAAACUGAUUGUUACUGAUUUGUAAUUUAAUUUCAUUGUCAAAGAAUAGUCUUAGUAUAACAUGAAUAGUUUUACAUUUGAGACUUUUUUUGUGGCCCAGAAUAUGGUCAGUCUUAUUAAAUGUUCCAUGUGCAAUAGAAAAGAAAGUUUAUUUUGCUGUUGUUGCAUGGAAUAUUCUAUCAAUAUCAAUUAGUGAAAGUGUUGGAUGGUAUCAAGUUGGUUGAUAAUGUAGCUGAUUUUUCUGCCUACAUGUUCUGUCAAGUAUUGACACAGGGAUAUUAAAAUGUCUGACUAUACUGGUGGGUUUGUCUGUUUCUCGUUGCUGUUCUAUCAGUCUUUGCUUCAUGUAUUUUGAAGCUCUCAUAUUAGGAGCAUAGAUAUUUAGGAUUGUUCUUUCCUCUUGAUUAGCUGACCUCUUUAUCAUUAUGAAAAGACAUUUUUUUCCAUAAAAGUCUUUGUUCUGAAAUGGACUUUAAUAGCAUAAAUCCUCUAGAUUUCUUUGAAUUAGUAGUAGUAUGAUAUAUCUUUGUCCAUUCUUUUACAUGUAACCUAUUUGCAUCUUUAUAUUUCAUAGUGGGUUUCUUAGAAACAGCGAGUAGUUGAGUCUUUAUAUACAAUCUGACAAUGUCUGCCUUUUAAUUGGAGUGUUUAGACCAUUUACACCUAAUGUGAUUAUUGAUAUAAUGAAAUUUGAAUAUACUUUCUUGCUAUGUUUUCUGUUUGCCCCAUCUGUUUCUGUUUCAUUUUCUGUUUUUCUGCCUGCUUUUUUUUAAAAAUGUUUAUUUUUUAUCUUAACAUUUCUUUUGGUUCACUACCUAUAACUCUUCAUUUUGUUAUUUAGUGAUUGUUUUAGGACAGGCUUGUCUAACCCGUUGUCUGUGGGCCGCAUAUGGCCCAGGAUGGCUUUGAAUGUGGCCCAACAUAAAUUUGUAAACUUUCUUAAAACAUUAUGAUUUUUUUUUGCAACUUUUUUUGUUGUUGUUUAGCUCAUUAGCUAUAGUUAGUGUAUUUUAUGUGUGGCUCACAACAAUUCUUUUUCCAAUGUGGCACAGGAAAGCCAAAAGAUUGCACACCCCUGUUUUAGGGUUUCUAGUAUAUAUCUGUAACUUAUAAUGGCCUACCAUCAAGUAAUAUUAUACCAUUUCACAUAUAAGAAGUUUACAGAAGUAUAUUUUUAUUUCUCUCCUUUCAGGUUUUGUGCUAUUAUUUUACUCCUACUUAUGUUAUAUCCUCCACAAUACAUUGCUAUUUUUGUUUAAAUGGUCAAUUAUUUUGUAAAGAUAUCCUUUGUUUCUUUGUAUAGAUACAUAUUUCCAUCUGGUAAAAUUUUUCUUCGGUCAGAAGGACUUUCUUAAUCAUUUUUUUGUAGUAUGGGUUUACCAGUGAGGAAUACUUUUGUAUAUUUGAAAAGGUAUUUCACUUUCACUUUUGAAAGAUAUUUAAGUAUCAAAUUCUAGGUUGACAGUUUUUUUUCCUCUUUCAGCAGUUUAAGCCAUCUGCUCUACUGCCUUUUCUCUUCCAUUAUUUCUGAUGAGAAAACAUCACCCUUAUCUUGGUUUCUCUGUAUGUAACAGUUUUUCCUCUCUAGAUGCUUUUACAAUUUUUUCUGUAUCCCUGGAUUUGAGCAAUAUGAUUGUGAUGUAGUUUAGUGAAUUUUUUCUCAUGUGAUUAGGGUUUGUUGAUCUUGGACUUCUGGAUUUACACUAUUCACUAAUUUUGGAAUAAUUUCAGCCAGUUUAUUUCUCUAAGUAUUUUCUUCUGACCUCCUCUCCCCUCCUUCAGAGACUCACAUUACACGUAAAUUAAACCAUUUGGAAUUGCCUCACAGUUCAUUGAUAAUGUAUUGUUGUUGUUACUGUUUUCCUCCUCCUCCUUCUAGUCCUUUUUCCCUUUUGUGUUUUAGUUUGGAUAAUUUCUAUUGCUGUGUCACUAAGUUCACCUUUUUUUCUGCAGUGUCUCAUCUGUCAUUAACCCCAUUUUGUAUAUUCUUCAUCUCAGACAUUAUAGUUUUGUAUUUAGAAAUUUUUCGAGAACUUUUGUGUCUCUGAUAUGUUCUUUCCUCUCACGUUUUAAACAUUUGGAUAUAGUUAUAACAACAGUUUUAUUGUCCUUGUAUGCUUAUUCUAACAUUUGUGUUGGUUCUGGAUUGGUUUCUGUUGAUUGAUUUUUCUCCUUAUUACAAGUUUUCCCUGCGUAUUUGUAUGCCUGAUAAUUUUUUAUUUUAUGCCAGAUAUUGUGAUUUUUUUUUCUUCUUGUGGGGGCUGUAUAUUUUUCUAUUCCUACAAAUAUUAUUUAACUUUGUGUUGAAAUGCAGUUAAGUUUCUAGAAAACACUUUAACCCUUUUGGGUCUUUUAAAAUAUGUUAGGAGCAGAACAAUAUUUAGUCUACAGCUAAUUAUUUUCUCUUUUGAGACAAGACCCUUUUAAACACAGAUGCUCCUUGAUGUAGUUAUUGGCAUGUAACCCUGCCCUAAAUUGAGGAAUAUAGCGAAUGAGUUUCACUUUCAUACCAUCCUAAAGUUGAAAAAUCUUAAAUUGAACCAUAGUAAAAUGGGGACCUUCUAUAUUCUAUUUAACACCUUGUGAAUUAAGAAAUUUCUCAAUCUCACUGGUGCAAACAAGUACCAUUCUUGCCCUUGUGUGAUCUCUCAGUAUUGCUCCCUUUAAUCCUUUUAGGUGUCCUUUUCCUGGCCUCAGGUAGUUUUCUCAUAUUCAUACACUGAUAGUCCUGAUUCCCAGGGGGCACCAACUGCCGAUCUAUGCAGUUCGUCCUCACUACUCUGCCCUGCAAACUCUAGCUGCCUUUGUCUCCCUGGACUCUCCCCUGUACUUCUUCAACUUAGAGGGAGUCUACCAGGCCCUACUUGGGUUCCCUUCCCCUAUGCCCUGUCCUGGUGUGAUGUUAGUUAACUUUUUGUGUCAAUUUGACUGGGUUAAGGGAUACUACAUAGCUGAUAAGACAUUAUUUCUGGGUGUGUCUGUGACAGCAUGACCAGAAGAUAUUAGUACUGGAUUCAGUAACAAAGAAGAUCCACCCUCACCCAUGUAGGUGGGCAUCAUCCAACCUACCUAGGGCCUGGAUAGAACAAAAAGGUAGGGACAAGGUAAUUAAGUCUCCCUUCUGGAGCUGAUGCAUCCGUUUUCUCCUGCCCUUAGACAUCAGAGUUCCAGGUUCUCAGGCCUUUGGACUGGGGCACUUAACUAGUCCCUAUCCAAAACUAUCCAAACUAAUAUGCAAAAAGGAAAGAAAGACUAGAAGAAAGGGAGGAGAACACCACCACCAACAACAAAUCUUCAGUGUCGACGAACUGUGAGACAAUGUCAACCCUCUAGGCCUUCAGACUCAGGCCGAGUUGCAAUACUGACUUUCCUGGUUAUCUAGUUUGCAGGUAGCAUAUCGUGGGACUUUUCAGCCUCCAUUUCUUGAAACCAUUGUUCCAUGUAUUUUGUCCAGAUUUUUAGGUAUUUCAGGUGGGCUAGAAUCAACUAGUAAUGGAAUACUAAUAUCUAGUCACCUGAAAUACCUAAAAAUACCCAGUCCCUAUGACUCCAUCUUAGCUGAAACUGAAAUUCCAAUAACAUUUUAAGUUUCCAAGAUUUCUAUUUAUUUUCUGUUUCAUAUGUACAGGACACCCAGGAAUCUCUGAAGAUAUUAUUUAAAUUUAUUUUUGGUUGUAUAACUGACUCUUUUUUUUUUGAUGAUAAUUUGUUGAGUUUGGGGUCUUUCUCUUAUGGGCUUGUUUUUCUUUACAUGUUGGACAGUUCUUAGUUGUCUGCUUGUGUUUCUUUGCAUUUGAGAAUUAGUCUACAUUUCUCUGGGAAUACUAGUUACAUUACUUACUCUGCUUCUUCUCAUUGUCUAUGAUGAGCAUCUAAAUAGAGUUUGGUGGCAGUUUGUCUUCUGGGUGUGAUGUUCCUCAUCGUUCUUGAGGUUAGUUGUUACUUGGGCACUCCCCACAGCAUCCUGACAGCAAAUACUGCCAUUGGCCCCUUGCUCCUAAGCAAAAGCUGGGGAUUGAGGAAGUGUCCCAUCGGCCCGGCUGCUCUGAAUUAAUUUUCACCUGAAUGCCUGGGAUCCCCUCAUGUACUUCGUAUAAGAUGCCACUGACUUCUGGAGUUGGACUUGAUUGCCAUUUUUUUUUUUUGAGACGGAGUCUUGCUCUCUUGCCCAGGCUGGAGUGCAGUGGCAUGAUCUCGGCUCACUGCAAACUCCACCUCCCAGGUUCACGCCAUUCUCCUGCCUCAGCCUCCUGAGUAGCUGGGGCUACAGGCGCCCACCACCACUCCCGGCUAAUUUUUUGUAUUUUUAGUGGAGACAGCGUUUCACUAUGUUACCCAGGAUGGUCUCGACCUCCUGACCUCGUAAUCCACCCGCCUUGGCCUCCCAAAGUGCUGGGCUGGGAUUACAGGCAUGAGUCACCGCGCCCAGCCUCUAUUGCCAUUUUUAUGAAAAGUUUCUGCUACUACUUGGUUUCCUCCAAGCUUAUUUCUAUGUAGAUCUGUGUGCUUUUUUAAAAUCGAGAGUUUGUCACAAUUUCUGCCCCUCUGUUAACACUUUUUUUUUGUUUGUUUUCCAUUGUUACUAUGGACAUAUUCUUUCAAAAAUGUUUAUCUUUUCUGACAUGGGUGUAAGGAGAUGUAGACACAUGUUCAAUUAUAUAAGGUUUCAUUAUAUGAUGAUACACUCUAACUCAUUAACCAGCCAUUAUUAAUAAAAUAGGUGGUGUAUAGUGUGUAUAAGGUAUAAUGAACAUUCUUGAACAUAUAUUUUUAAAUAAUUAUGUAAAUGUUAAUGUGUAAAGCUCUAAAACAUAGUUUAUUUGAUUUGUUUACAUUCCAUUUAAACACCAAAGAUAUAUAAUAUUCACUUUAUUCUCACAUUCAUACUGAUGAGAGUGUAUUGGAGGAAAAAGUAUUAUUGAUUUCAUUUUGAAAAAUAGUGUUUUUCCCCCGACUCCUACCUUCACUCCCCAUUAGUGAAGAAUAGUCAAAGACAAUACCUUAAAAAAACAAACAACAACAAAAAAACAAACCAACAAAACCUUCGAAUGUACUAAGUAGUUUGAAAACUUUACCAAAUAUGUCAAAUUACUAAGAUAUUAACUUAGGUGAUGGAUUAAUUUAUAUCGAAUAUUUAGAGCAAUGUCCUAAGUUCGGUGUAAUAUCCUAAGUACAUUAUUCAGUACUUUUCUGGUUUUCACACCCAAAUAUUUAAUAUGUGAAAUUUAAAUGAUUAUUAAGUAGAAAUGUGUGGGUUCCAGAGGUGAGAGCAUACUUAUAUCUCUCUGCUCCCAAAUAGCAUGUGUAGUUUGUUAAUGUUGAACACGUUAUUUUAUUUUGGUUUAAUCAUACGUUCAAAGAAAAUACCAUUCACAGUUGUUUCUGGAGGAUUAGCUCCUUGUUGUUUUCUCAUUACCUACAGUUUAAAACUAAACAAAAGUAGUUUUAAAAAUAAUGUGUUAAAAAAAAGCCCUCAAUAUAAGUUAAACCAGACAACUCAUUUUAUAGUGAUUUUUUUCUUUAAUUCAAAAAUGUUGACCUACCAAGUUUAAUGUAAUACACUUUCAUCAGUACAAUGUUUCACUCCUAUAAAAUUAGAGAUAAUUAAAAAUAAGACAUUGAGGUUUUUUUUAAACUUUUUGUUAUACACAUUUAGUUUGAACUCCUUGUCCUAAUUACUUGUUUCUGUUGAGCAAGUAAGUAAUGUACUUAAGGAUGCUAUUGGGAUCUUGUACAACAAACACUAUAGAGAAUAGAGAAUCUGAAAGGCAAGAUGGAAAUGUCAUCUAGAAAAAACAUGUGAGAGAAUCUUUUUAUUGACCACACAUGUAAUCUCAAAGUGAAAGUUAAUGAGAUUUAGGCAAUUAAUGCAUUUUCUUAAUGUAUAGGGUUUUAAAUGGAAAAAAUUACUCUGUCUAGAUGUUUAUCAUGAUAAAUAGUUGAUGUUUUCAGUAGACUGGAAAGUAAGUUAACAACCUAUGAUAUAUUCCAGAAUAAAAGGCCAUCAUUGUGUAAACACUAAUGCAUAUUCAUAUAAUGUAAAUCCACUGAAUCAUUCAUUGGCAGUCAUUUGACAUGAUGUUAAUAGUUUUUUCUAACUGGGUAUGUUUCCAUUAUUUGUUCCCUUGGAGAAUUUAGAAGUGCUGAAUUUCACUGGACAGCAUAGGAAGCAUUAUUUUAGCAAGUUCUUCAAUACCCAUGUAGUCAUUAUUUCUCAGUAUCAUAUUCUUAUUUCAUCACUAGAAUAAUACUCUUGACAGUUAAGUUCUAAUCAGGUUUCAUGUUUACAUUCUCCAAAGUGCUUAUUUUCAUUCAUUCAAUAAACACCACUUAUUUUCCAGGGACUGUGCCAGGUAAGUACUCUGGAUAGUUCACUGCCCCGUAUCUGCAGGAGCCUACUUGUUGAGCAUAUGGUAAGUGCUUGACAAAUAGUUAUUGAGUGAACUUAGGUCGUGGAAAAAUCCCCAAAUAUUGUGAAAUUAAACAACACACUUCAAAGUAGUCCAGGGUCAGAGACAAAAAUCACAAAAUAAAUUAGAAAAUGUUUUGAAUUUAGAAGUAAUGAAAAUACAAUACAGUUGACCCUUGAACAGCAUGGGGUUGUUCAGUGUCUAGUCAAAAAUCUAUGUAUAACUUUGUACUCCCCUAAAACUUAACUACUAAUAGGCUGCUGUUGACUAGAAGCCUUACCAAUAGUGUAAACAGUAGAUUAACAUGUAUCCUGCAUGUUAUAUGUAUUACAUACUGUAUUCUUACAGCAAAGUAAGAGAAAAGAAAAUGGUAUUAAAAUCAUAAGAAAAAAUAUAUUUACUAUUCAUUAUGAGGAAGUGGAUCAUCAUAAUGAUCUUCAUCUUGUCUUCAUGUUGAGUAGGCUGAGGAGGAAGGAAAUGAGGGGUUUGUUUUGGUGUCUCAGGGGUGGCAGAGGCAGAAGAAAAUCCAUACGUAACUGGGCCUGUGAUGUUCAAACCCAUGUUGUUCGAGGGUCAACUGUAUAUCCAAAUUUGUGGGAUUCAACUAAAGCAAAACCUACAGAGAAAAUUACAGUGUUAAAUGCUUAUAUUAGAAAAUAACAGUCUAUGGUCAAUGAUCUCAGCUUCUACUUUUAUAAUCUGGAAAAAGAGCAAUUAAACUACUAUGAAGGAAAUAAUAAAAAAGUGGAAAUCAAUAAAAUGGGAAAUGGAUAAGCAAGAGAGAAAAUAAGUAAAACCCCAAAUGGCAUAGAAAAGAGGGACACAAUAGAUAAAAUUAAUAAAACUCUAGAUAAUUCCAAGGUAGAGGAUGGUGGGAGAUAAAUAGGCUUUUAGGUAGAUGGUUAUGGAACAACAUCAUUGUGGAAAAAAUAAACUUUAACUCUUAGCUAUAUACAAAAAUUAAAAUGUAUUAUAGAUCUAAAUGCAAAAGUUAAAACUCUAAAGCUUCUAAAAGAAAACACUGGGGCCAGGCACAGUGGCUCCUGCCUGUAAUCCCAGUACUUUGGGAGGCUGAGGCGGGUGGAUCACCUGAGGUCGGGAGUUUGAGACCAGCCUGACCAACAUGCAGAAACCCCAUCUCUACUAAAAAUAACAACAUUAGCCGGGAGUGGUUAUGCAUGCCUGUAAUCCCAGCUACUCAGGAGGCUGAGGCAGGAGAAUUGUUUGAACCUGGGAGGCAGAGGUUGCGGUGAGUCGAGAUUGUGCCAUUGCACUCCAGCCUGGGCAACGAGCAAAACUCCAUCUCAAGAAAAAAAAAUAUUGGGAAGAAACUUUUUAUGACCUUGGAGUAGGAAAAGGUUUUCUAUGUAGGAUACAGAAAUAUUUAUGAAAAACUUCGAAAAUUGGACUUAAUCAAAAUUUAAAACCUUUGCUCUUCCAAAGAUAAUAAAUUAAAAAAGGCUUACCAUAGCGGAAAAGUUUUGCAAUAAUAUAGCUGAUAAAGGUCUUGUAUCCAGAACAACAAAGAACUCAGAAAUUAAUAAAAAGCCAACUAAAAAUACAA